This 497-nucleotide ribosomal RNA is filed under the name uncultured bacterium. RNAcentral's name for it is "partial 16S ribosomal RNA". It matches the Rfam family "Bacterial small subunit ribosomal RNA", at positions 28 to 507 of the family's 1533-position model. The record is from RNAcentral.
GGUGAACGCUGGCGGCGUGCCUAAUACAUGCAAGUCGAGCGAACAGACGAGGAGCUUGCUCCUCUGACGUUAGCGGCGGACGGGUGAGUAACACGUGGAUAACCUACCUAUAAGACUGGGAUAACUUCGGGAAACCGGAGCUAAUACCGGAUAACAUGUUGAACCGCAUGGUUCAACAGUGAAAGACGGUCUUGCUGUCACUUAUAGAUGGAUCCGCGCCGCAUUAGCUAGUUGGUAAGGUAACGGCUUACCAAGGCAACGAUGCGUAGCCGACCUGAGAGGGUGAUCGGCCACACUGGAACUGAGACACGGUCCAGACUCCUACGGGAGGCAGCAGUAAGGAAUCUUCCGCAAUGGGCGAAAGCCUGACGGAGCAACGCCGCGUGAGUGAUGAAGGUCUUCGGAUCGUAAAACUCUGUUAUUAGGGAAGAACAAAUGUGUAAGUAACUAUGCACGUCUUGACGGUACCUAAUCAGAAAGCCACGGCUAACUACGUG